GCUCCUGUAGUGUAGUGGUUAUCACGCAUCCUUCACACGGAUGAGGUCUCCGGUUCGAAUCCGGACAGAAGCA
Transfer RNA from Trachipleistophora hominis, 73 nucleotides. It matches the Rfam family "tRNA". From Rfam's summary of the family: Transfer RNA (tRNA) molecules are approximately 80 nucleotides in length. Their secondary structure includes four short double-helical elements and three loops (D, anti-codon, and T loops). Further hydrogen bonds mediate the characteristic L-shaped molecular structure. tRNAs have two regions of fundamental functional importance: the anti-codon, which is responsible for specific mRNA codon recognition, and the 3' end, to which the tRNAs corresponding amino acid is attached (by aminoacyl-tRNA synthetases). tRNAs cope with the degeneracy of the genetic code in two manners: having more than one tRNA (with a specific anti-codon) for a particular amino acid; and 'wobble' base-pairing, i.e. permitting non-standard base-pairing at the 3rd anti-codon position. The record is from Rfam. Lineage: Eukaryota; Fungi; Microsporidia; Pleistophoridae.